ACAUUCCCCAAAUCAGUUAAACAACUGGGCAAAAUAAACUAUUAGUUUUAAGCUUUUAAAAUGAAAUAGUUUGUUAAGAAUAACAUUUUACCUACCUCUAGAGGAACUCACUUGAGAAUUUUAAGCAUUUUACAAACAAAACAUCACUCAAGGCUCUAGCCCCCAGGAUUCUGAGAUCAAUGUAAAUAUUUCUUGUGCAUCCCUGGGAAGGCACUAUGAAGUUUUGUAGGACCUGCACAGAAGAACCAGUGCUUACGUGAGAAGGUCUUUCACCAAGCAAUUAUUGGACAUCUACUGUGUGCCAGACCUCACACUAGGUGCUAAGGAACAAAUGUGAAUGACCUCAGCCCUUGUCCUCAAGUGGCCCAUGAUCUAAAGUGGAGAGGCUGAUUUAAAAGUUACUAUCAUAAAUUCUUACAGAUAUAACAAGACUGAUUUCAGUCCCAAAUUCCCUUCUCUCAUUUCAAAUCUCUAAUUCUAAGAACAUCUCACCCCUUUCAAAUGGGAAUACAUCCUAUACUCUCAAUGCUACUACAAAGCAUAACUAUAGUUUCAGGGCAAUGUGGUUCGAUAUAAAUUCCAAAUCAACUUUAAUUUUUCUUUGGAGAGGAAAAACACACACCUGUACCAAACCCAUACAGAAGAGAGACCUUGUAAAAUACCCCAUGAAUUUUAAGCUUACCUGGAACUAAUUUAAAAGACCACACAGAUUCUGAAUAGCAGAGAUGUGUAGGCAAGUUGGGCCCUUGAAAUGAAGGGGCUGAAGUUUUGCAAAGAAGACUAAGCAGGAGCUAACUGCAUUCAGGAUUUUUUUUUUUUAAUUUUUAUUUUUUUUAGGGCCACAGUGGCGGCAUAUGGAGGUUCCCAAGCUAUGGGUUGAAUCGGAGCUGUAGCUGUCGGACUACACCAGAGCUACAGCAACACAGGAUCUGAGCUGUGUCUGCAUGACCUACCCCACAGCUCACGGCAACACCAGAUCCUUAACCCACCAACCAAGGCCAGGGAUUGAACCCAUGUCAUCACGGAUACCAGCCGGGUUUGUUAACCGCUGAGCCACAUUGGGAACUCCAGGAUUUUCUCUUAUUUUGUAACCUCUGAAAAUCUCAUAAACACUAGAGAUAUUUUCUACAGAAAGCACUUAUAUACACAAAUGUUACUCCUGAAAUCCAUGGACUUUGGGUUAAGAAUCCCAGCUCUACAGCACAGAAACAAAGGCGAGACUCUUUCCAGCUAACCCCUUGCAGAAGGGCGCAUCUCCAUUAGUGCACACCUAGGAUAAUGCCUGGCAUAAAGAACUCCAUAGAUAUCCGGUCAAUGAAUGAAUGAUGUUAUUUGUGCUAUGGCUUAAUUGUGGCAAGCUGUUUUAAAUCUAAAGAAAAUAUCUGAUUUCCUUAAUAUGAAUUUUACUGAUACAUCCUGUUUACCUAUUUUUAUUUUCACUUUUUUAAUUAAGAAAAAAUUUUUUUGGCUGAACUCAGAGCAUAGAGAAGCUCCUGGACCAGGGAUCAAAGCUGCACCACAGCAGUGACAACACCAGAUCCUUAACCUGCUGUGCCACCAAGGAACUCUCUCUUUACCUUUUUAAAAAAUUAUUAUUUUUUUCUUUUUAGGGUCACACCUGUGGCAUAUGGAAGGUCCUGGGCUAGGGGGUGAAUCAGAGCUGCAGCUGCCAGCCUACGCCACAGCCACAGCAAUGCCAGAUCCGAGCCACGUCUGUGACCUACACCGAAGCUUGUGGCCACUGAGUGAAGCCAGGGAUUGAACCAGCACCCUUAUGGAUACUAGUCGGGUUCUUAACUAGCUGAACCACAAUGAGAAUUGCCUACCUUUAAAUUAAAGAAAAAAAAAAAAACUUAUUAUUUUGAAAUAAUUACAGACUCACAAGAAAUUGCAAAAAUCGUGAGACUGGUGUAGCCCUCAUCCAGCCUCCCUCAGUGACAUCUUACAAAACAACAGUGCCUUAUCAGAAGCAGGAAACUGAUUGACAGCAGUUAACAACUUGACCUAACUUGGAUUUCAUGAUUUUUUGCACAUGUUCCCCUCAUUACCUUUUUACGUAAACAAAUAAUAUAAACACUCACAUUUUCACCUGAAAACAGUUUGCCAAAAUUCAAAUAUUACAGCAGUCAAAAAUAGAACAGAUUUCUCUCAGCUGUAAGUAUCUAACAAGGAACCGCUGAGCAGAAAAAAAGACAAAGGUGUGAGUUCGCUCAGCACUGUUCCCAGCUCCAUGCACCCUGUCUCCCCACUAUGACUUUAUUUUCUGACCUGAAGGGUAUUUUUAAGACAUUAAGCACAACCAUAUAAGCAAAAUUGCCACCAACGUGGGGUGUCAUAUAACCAAAAUCAUUUUGCUUCCAGAGAGGAGACUCAACACCAUCUUCAUCUAAUUAAGUUUCUAUACUAUUAAGGGCCUGCCCACUGUGCUGAAAGAAGCUGCUUGCGGUGCUGAGAGGAAAAGGGCCAGAACCCUUGAGCUGCCAGCGAGCAGGGCAGAUGUGCAGCAACUCAUGUGGAGAGUAUAUGAGUUCUGGAGCCAGAAAUUUGAGGGGGUUUACCAUAUCUUUCAAUUCUUUUUUUUUUUUUUUUUUUUUUUUUUUGUCUUUUUGCCAUUUCUAGGGCCGCUCCCGUGGCAUAUGGAGGUUCCCAGGCUAGGGAUCCAAUCGGAGCUGUAGGCACCAGCCUACACCACAGCCACAGCAACGUGGGAUCCAAGCCGCAUAUGCGCCCUGCACCACAGCUCACGGCAACGCCAGAUCCUCAACCCACUGAGCAAGGCCAAGGAUCGAACCCACAACCUCAUGGUUCCUAGUUGGAUUCACCAACCAUGACAGGAACUCCAUGACUGCAAGUCUUUAUCAUGGUCUCCUAGCCCCCUGCUGCAAACCUUCACACACACACACACACACAUACACACACACACAGAGCACCUAUGUCCACUCCUGACCACCAGCCUGGAGAGUGACACUCUGCCCCUUCCUCCUUCCCCUCCCCUUUUGCAACCCAAAUACUCCACUCUCCAUAAAGAAGGAACUAUUACUUGCAUCUCAUUCCCAUCUGCUACAGACUAUGAUUAAUUAACACCCUUCAUUAUAAAAUCUCAACACAACAAAGUGAGACAAAGUC
Molecule: long non-coding RNA, 3126 nt
Filed under: Sus scrofa (pig)
Lineage: Eukaryota; Metazoa; Chordata; Mammalia; Artiodactyla; Suidae
Description: lncRNA (ENSSSCG00035058381.1)
Source: RNAcentral